CCUACGGGAGGCUGCAGUAGGGAAUAUUGCUCAAUGGGGGAAACCCUGAAGCAGCAAUGCCGCGUGGAGGAUGAAGGUUUUCGGAUUGUAAAACCCUGUUGUUAGAGAAGAAAGUGCGUGAGAGUAACUGUUCACGUUUCGACGGUAUCUAACCAGAAAGCCACGGCUAACUACGUGCCAGCAGCCGCGGUAAUACGUAGGUGGCAAGCGUUAUCCGGAUUUAUUGGGCGUAAAGGGAACGCAGGCGGUCUUUUAAGUCUGAUGUGAAAGCCUUCGGCUUAACCGGAGUAGUGCAUUGGAAACUGGGAGACUUGAGUGCAGAAGAGGAGAGUGGAACUCCAUGUGUAGCGGUGAAAUGCGUAGAUAUAUGGAAGAACACCAGUGGCGAAAGCGGCUCUCUGGUCUGUAACUGACGCUGAGGUUCGAAAGCGUGGGUAGCAAACAGGAUUAGAUACCCCUGUAGUC
Molecule: ribosomal RNA, 465 nt
Filed under: uncultured bacterium
Lineage: Bacteria
Description: partial 16S ribosomal RNA
Rfam family: Bacterial small subunit ribosomal RNA
Source: RNAcentral